CCUACGGGAGGCAGCAGUAGGGAAUCUUCCGCAAUGGACGAAAGUCUGACGGAGCAACGCCGCGUGAACGAUGAAGGCCUUCGGGUCGUAAAGUUCUGUUGUUAGGGAAGAACAAGUGCUAGUUGAAUAAGCUGGCACCUUGACGGUACCUAACCAGAAAGUCACGGCUAACUACGUGCCAGCAGCCGCGGUAAUACGUAGGUGGCAAGCGUUGUCCGGAAUUAUUGGGCGUAAAGCGCGCGCAGGCGGUUUCUUAAGUCUGAUGUGAAAGCCCCCGGCUCAACCGGGGAGGGUCAUUGGAAACUGGGAAACUUGAGUGCAGAAGAGGAAAGUGGAAUUCCAAGUGUAGCGGUGAAAUGCGUAGAGAUUUGGAGGAACACCAGUGGCGAAGGCGACUUUCUGGUCUGUAACUGACGCUGAGGCGCGAAAGCGUGGGGAGCAAACAGGAUUAGAUACCCUGGUAGUCCACGCUGUAAACGAUGAGUGCUAAGUGUUAGAGGGUUUCCGCCCUUUAGUGCUGAAGUUAACGCAUUAAGCACUCCGCCUGGGGAUACGGUCGCAAGACUGAAACUCAAAUGAAUUGACGG
Molecule: ribosomal RNA, 587 nt
Filed under: uncultured bacterium
Lineage: Bacteria
Description: bacterial SSU rRNA
Rfam family: Bacterial small subunit ribosomal RNA
Source: RNAcentral